UACGGGGGGGGGCAAGCGUUGUUCGGAAUUACUGGGCGUAAAGGGCUCGUAGGCGGCCCUCUCAGUCGGAUGUGAAAUCCCCAGGCUCAACUUGGGAACGGCAUCCGAUACUGGAGGGCUUGAAUUCGGGAGAGGGAUGCAGAAUUCCAGGUGUAGCGGUGAAAUGCGUAGAGAUCCGGAAGAACACCGGUGGCGAAGGCGGCUCGCUGGGGCAGUGGCUGACGCUGAGGCGCGACAGCGUGGGGAGCAAACGGG
This 255-nucleotide ribosomal RNA is filed under the name uncultured bacterium. Its description in RNAcentral is "partial 16S ribosomal RNA". It matches the Rfam family "Bacterial small subunit ribosomal RNA", at positions 524 to 776 of the family's 1533-position model. The record is from RNAcentral.